RNAcentral lists this small nuclear RNA (196 nucleotides) under Nicotiana attenuata. Its description in RNAcentral is "snRNA U2". It matches the Rfam family "U2 spliceosomal RNA". Rfam says of the family: U2 is a small nuclear RNA (snRNA) component of the spliceosome (involved in pre-mRNA splicing). Complementary binding between U2 snRNA (in an area lying towards the 5' end but 3' to hairpin I) and the branchpoint sequence (BPS) of the intron results the bulging out of an unpaired adenosine, on the BPS, which initiates a nucleophilic attack at the intronic 5' splice site, thus starting the first of two transesterification reactions that mediate splicing. The record is from Rfam by way of RNAcentral. Lineage: Eukaryota; Viridiplantae; Streptophyta; Magnoliopsida; Solanales; Solanaceae.
AUACCUUUCUCGGCCUUUUGGCUAAGAUCAAGUGUAGUAUCUGUUCUUAUCAGUUUAAUAUCUGAUAUGUGGGCCAUCGGCUCACACGAUAUUAACUCAAUUUUUUAAAGGGAAAGGUUCACCAAGGUAGCUUGCUAUCUGGACUUUUGCGCGUCGUCUAGGUCUUGCACUAUUGCUUGGGCCUGGCGCACCCCCA